AUUAAAUCUACACCACAUAUUCUUUAAAGAAAUCUAUACAGCAUGUACUUCUACCCGUCUUUUUUUUCUUCUUCAGCUCACUUUUCUCCCAUUUGUUUCCUCACUGUCACUGCAACUUCCAAAUUUGCAGUUCGCAUCAUUUUUUUCAUCUCUUAGAGUUUACACAUGCAACAAUAAAGACAGGUGAGCUUGAGUUUCGGCGGCUAUGGGUUUUCAGUGAUGGUACCAAUCUUGAGUUUCGGUUGGUUUUGGGUUUCCAGUUGCAGUCGAUCUUGAGUUUCGGUGUGCCAAUCUUGAUUUUCUGUCAGUCUAUCUCUUUCAUUAGUCUCUGGUAGUGGGUUUUUGGUUGUGGUGUCUGAUCUUGAGUUUGGACGGAAUGGGUGAGGAGAGAGCUUAGGUCGGCGGUGAGAUGGAGGACUGGGCUUGUUGAACUUUCAAUUCAAAUAACCCAACACACCGAUGGCACAUACUCUCUCUCUCUCUCUCCUGGCCUAAACUCGAGGCAAACACUUCUCUCUGUCCGAUUUCCCCAAACCCUAACUCUCAAACUCUCCCUCUAUCCCGAUCUAGCUACUAUGAGAGCCCCAAACGGCGCGUGAUUGAUGGAUCGAUGGUGUGGAGGCCAAGGAUAUCACGGAUCGAUCGAGAACUAUGGCUGUGGUGGCGCGUGGGUUCGUGGCUUGAGGCGCGUGAACAACACGUGCUUCACAUAAGAAAAAUCAUUGGCUAAAUCAAUCACUCCUGUGAUUAAUGUUAGCGGGUCAGUUCAAUGAUUGUAAUUCGUUGCCAUUGUGUGGCUAAGAUCCACAAUGGUGAUAAUAACGGUGGUGAUGAUGAUGAUGACCACGAGGAUGAUGCAGAUGCAAUGAUCCGAUUUUAGAAGGAAUCAUCUGAUUGUAGUUGCUCUGUGUGAGUCUGCCUAUUUUGCAUUUUUAAGUGAAUGGGAUGAAAUAUUUUUAGUUUUGGUUUAGAUAAAUGGCUAUUGCUGGUCUACACAAUGUUUCUGUACUUGAUUCCCCUGGUUUAGGAUAUUCAAAGUUAACCGUGGUGUGAGUGACCAAUUUUGACCAGUUUUGUGGUUGACCCCUAAUUUCAUUCCUUGUAUGAGCACGGAUUCCAGAUGAUCAAAACUUUGCCAUAACACCCGCUUUGUAGAUACAUUGCCAGAAUCCAAUAAAGUAGCGACAGUCUUAUUGGUAGCGAAAGAGCAUAGCUUAAUAGGAAUCCCACCUAAUUGGCACCUAAUUCUCAAUGCUCCAUCCUUGUUUUCCAAAAUAACCUUGUCAGAGUCGUUAAUAAUAGGAAUGCUUGGAAUUGCAUACCAUAUAUUUUGAAACGAAUCAUUGGAUAAAACUAAAAGUACAUUCAAAUUUGUGUAGUUAGUCAGCGGUAUGAAAUCCAACCUGAACCUCCCAUUUGGAGAAUGUAGUCUAGGCCCAGGAAAGGAUCAUACCGCCUGGUUUGAUGUAUUGGGCAUGAGAAGUCCAAAAGGAUGAGAAGAAGAGCAAGAACAGAAAUUUGAGAAGAAAUUUUGAGCAAAAAUGCUCGAAAUUUCCUCAUUAAGCUCUGCAAUAACUAUUAGGAAAUGAAAAGAAACAAAAAAUGUCAAAUAUUACGCAAACAUAUAAAAUAGAAUAAAUAAAUAAAAACUCUUAAAAUUCUCUAAAUUAAAAAAAGUUCAUAAAACUAUUUCACCAUCAAUGAGAUCCAAAAGUUGCUUUCUAAUUGGGUCCACAAUAUUAGAUUGUGGGAUUUCAAAUCUGGUAGCACUUCCUAAUAUGUUACUUGGAAUGAUAAUUCUAUUCCUGAGAGUCCUUAGCAAAAUAGCUUUAAAAUUAUUUGGAAAUUCAGUAUUCUUAUCUCAAAUAUGAUAUGUCUUAUCAUAAAAAAACUCUAAAAAUCCUUCUCCCUUUCACUUAGGGUAGUCCAUUUUAUAAAACUCCUCCUUAGAUAGAAAACCAGAUAACUUAGCACCACUUUCCUUCGCAAGUUGGAUAUCACAACCCAUUGUUGCAAACGAAUUUGCUACUGUAUUAAAGUGUCUGCUAAUCUAUUCAAGCUCUACACUAUAACUCUUCCCCUCACCUAAGUCAUCUCUUAGUUUCUUUACAGUUUUGUCAAUCUCUAUAUCCUUCAAAACCUUAUUUGGACCAAGAUUUUGAGGGAUAUGGAGCAUAUCCAAUUGAAUAUGAAAAUCCUUCAAUCCAUAUUGAUCUAUAACUUUGCCCAUUGGCAGGUGGCCUUCAUAUCCAACUCUACAAUGUCCUCAGUAUAUAUAUAUAUAUAUAUAUAUAUAUUUUUUUUUUUAUCGAUAGAAAAUCACGAUGAACCACAACAUAAUGGGUAGCAAGCUUGAUCGACCACUACAAGCUCGGUACCAGCCAACUUUUUUCCUGAAUUGGCUCGAUAUCUCUUCACCACAACAUCCUUAAGAUAAGAAGCAUUUAGCAAAAUCUCUCAGAUUUGCAAUAAAAGGCAAACAACGUGUAAGACUUUUUGAGCCUGAAAAUAUAUAUAUAUAUAUAUAUAUAUAUAUUUUGUCAAUGAAGUUUAUUUUAUUUUUUAGGCUUAAAAAGUCUUACACAUGCUAUUUGCCUUCUAUUGCAAAUUCCGAGGGAUUUUGGGAGAUUCUUCUUAUCUUUUAAGGAUGCUGAGGUGCAAAGAUACUGAGAAAAUUCAGGAAAAAAGUUGACUGGUACUAGGCUUGUUGUGGUCAAUCAAGCUUACUAUCCACUAUGUUGUGGUUCAUCAUGCUCUUUUAUCGAUAAAAAAGAAAAGAAGAUAUUGUCGACAUUGUGGAGUUGAUGUGAAGGCCAUGUGUUGAUAGGCGAAGUUAGUUCUAGAUCGACAUGGCUGGAAGGAUUUUCAUAUUUAGUUGUAUAGGCUCUAUAUCCCUCAAAAUCUUGUUCCAAAUAAGGUUUUGAAGGAUACAGAGAUUGACAAAACCCUAAAAAAGCCAUGAGAUGAGUUACUUGAGGGGAAGGGUGCUUGAAUGGGUUAGCAAACAUUGUAAUACGGUGGUAAAUUCGUUCUCUACAAUGGGUCGUGAUGUCCAACUUGCAAAGGAAAGUGGUGUUAAGUUAUUUGGUUUUCUACCUAAGAAUGAGUUCUUUAAAAUAGACUACCUUAAGUGGAAGGGAGAAUGAUUUUCGGAGUUUUUUGACGAGGAGACAUCUUGUUUGGGAUAAGAAUACUAGAUUUCUAAACGGUUUUAGAGAUAUUUUGCUAAGGACUUUAAGGAAUCGAAUCAUCAUUCCAAGUAACAUACUGGGAGGUGCUACUAGAUUUGAAAUCUCACAAUUUAAUAUUGUGGACUUAAUUGGAAAGCAACUUUUAGAUCUCAUUGAUAGUGAGAUAGUUUUAUGAAAUUUUAUUAAUUUAGAGAAUUUUUUUAUUUAUUAUAUUUUAUAUGUUUGCAAUAUUUUAUUUUUUAUCCUAAUAGUUAUUGCAGGCCAUAUUCUUAAGGAGGAAAUUUCGAACUUUUUAGUUCAAUUCUGGUGUGAGGGAGAAGAUAAUCCCAAAGAAGAGUAUUGGCAGAGCUAGUAGGGGUCAGGGGGCCACUGAUUUUUUGAAUUUCCUUCUUACAAUCUUAACAAAUUCAUAAAUUAUUUGCAAAAUAUAUUUGCCGACCCCCCUAGAUUUUUGAAGAAAACAAAUACACCACAAAUUUUAAUUAGUUCAGCCUAAAAUUUCGAAUUUGGUAAUUAAAAAAAAAAAAAAAACCCUCAGAAAAUUAAUAUAAAGAAGGAAAAAAAAAAUCCCAAAUCAAAAAAAUAUAUAUUGUAUAGUAUACCAACCUACACGUGGGAAUGCUGACAUGA
Quercus lobata is the source of this 3821-nucleotide long non-coding RNA. RefSeq lists it as uncharacterized. NCBI's taxonomy places the organism in Eukaryota, Viridiplantae, Streptophyta, Magnoliopsida, Fagales, Fagaceae. The transcript has 2 exons. The record is from RefSeq and is a predicted model, not a curated record.